UCAAAUGUGACAUGUUUAAAUUAAACAUUUGAAUGACAUGUCCAAAAAAAGAGAAACACACACAUGAGAUCAUUUCCAAAGAUUAAAAGAAAUAACAAAACAACGAAUGCCCCGUUUCACUUCGCAAAAGCCUAUAAAACUGGCACCCCACUGAGAAGGCUACUAAAACAUGGCAUCUGUUUUAAAAAAAACGUGGACUAUCAGGCCAACCACAACAACGAGUUUCUCCAUUUUGUUGGCAGCCGUCAACGUUCAGAGCUGGAGUUUUGGUCUUACGACAUUCAACGUUUGGUCUGCCUUCAAGGGACAGCUCUUGAAAACCAAGAAAACAAGGCAGCCUGCUUUCUGAAGCACCGCACCGAGCCGCGGCCCCUGCAACAGAGAAUUCCCAGCCAACCAAGUACUCUCACUCUCCCUCACAUCUGAGUCUUGCUUUUCCGACUAUAUUCCGCUGUGUACCAGGCUUAGUACAAGUCCUCAGGGUGAGGGGCUGAGCCGCAGAACCAUUCUGCUAUUAAAUAUAUAGAGGUACUUUAAAAAACCA
Long non-coding RNA from Felis catus (domestic cat), 544 nucleotides. RefSeq lists it as uncharacterized. The record is from RefSeq and is a predicted model, not a curated record. The transcript has 2 exons. NCBI's taxonomy places the organism in Eukaryota, Metazoa, Chordata, Mammalia, Carnivora, Felidae.